This 234-nucleotide ribosomal RNA is filed under the name uncultured bacterium. Its description in RNAcentral is "partial 16S ribosomal RNA". It matches the Rfam family "Bacterial small subunit ribosomal RNA", at positions 118 to 351 of the family's 1533-position model. The record is from RNAcentral.
UGAGUAACCUGCCCUUAACUCUGGGAUAAGCCUGGGAAACUGGGUCUAAUACCGGAUAUGACUCCUCAUCGCAUGGUGGGGGGUGGAAAGCUUUAUUGUGGUUUUGGAUGGACUCGCGGCCUAUCAGCUUGUUGGUGAGGUAAUGGCUUACCAAGGCGACGACGGGUAGCCGGCCUGAGAGGGCGACCGGCCACACUGGGACUGAGACACGGCCCAGACUCCUACGGGAGGCAG